RNAcentral lists this ribosomal RNA (971 nucleotides) under Neobothriocephalus aspinosus. RNAcentral describes it as "eukaryotic LSU rRNA". It matches the Rfam family "Eukaryotic large subunit ribosomal RNA", at positions 73 to 630 of the family's 3401-position model. The record is from RNAcentral. Lineage: Eukaryota; Metazoa; Platyhelminthes; Cestoda; Bothriocephalidea; Echinophallidae.
GAUUCCCCUAGUAACGGCGAGUGAAGAGGGAAAAGCCCAGCACCGAAGCCUGCGGCAGUUUUGCUGUUAGGCAAUGUGGUGUUUAGGUCGGCUCGCGGGACUGCUGCUCCAUUCUAAGUCCAGCUUUGAGUAUGGCUUCUGGACUUGGCCCACAGAGGGUGAAAGGCCCGUUCGAAUGGAGGAUAAGAGAAGUGAGUAGUCCACUAUGCCGGCCUUCGAGUCGGGUUGUUUGAGAAUGCAGCCCAAAGAGGGUGGUAGACUCCAUCCAAGGCUAAAUACUAGCACGAGUCCGAUAGCGAACAAGUACCGUGAGGGAAAGUUGAAAAGUACUUUGAAGAGAGAGUAAACAGUACGUGAAACCGCAUAGAGGUAAACGGGUGGCGUCAAGCUGCACGCUUAGAGGAUUCAGUCGGUCAGGAUGUUGUGUAUGCGCCUGGCGCAUCUAUCAGUCGGAGUGAGAUAAAGUAGUCCGUUGGGUAACAGCGGGCCCGGCCGAAAGGCUGGGAUUUGUAUUCCGUGUUAUGUGCGGAGCUUGCUACUUGUCUAUGGACUGCCUGGCCGAUGCAUUUUCUCUGUGGCGAACACCACGACCGGUGGUACUGCCAGUCUGCUGUGGUAAAGUCGGGUUCAGUCGGCCUUGUGUUGGUUGAGCUUGAUCAUAGGCAAGCGGUGUGCGGGUGCGUACGUACUUGUACACCGCUUUGUCAACGGGUCUGUUUGCUGACGAUUGUAGUAGUUGGCGAAUGGCCUGGUGGACCAUGGUGGUAAGAAUAACUGUGCAGGGCACCGGUGAUUUCGGUCUCUAAUUUGGCUCGCUCACACACUACAAGUGGGUGUGGGUCGUCGUUGCAGUCUGCCUGUGAUUGGGUUUGAUUGUCGUGUUGCCUGCGCAAAGUAGGUCCGGCAGUAGCCUGAUUUUGGAUGGUAUUGCUAGCGGCGUCUCUUCUGCGGGCUGAUGAGGGCCUAAUAGU